Non-coding RNA from Cicer arietinum (chickpea), 1701 nucleotides. Lineage: Eukaryota; Viridiplantae; Streptophyta; Magnoliopsida; Fabales; Fabaceae. The record is from RefSeq and is a predicted model, not a curated record.
AAACACUAUCACACACUUUUCAUUUCAACUUCACCUUCUCAUUUCAACACAAAACAUAAAGUAAGAGCUGCACCUCUUCUUCCUUAAUUCCUCAACCUAAAACAACACCAACACCAUAAGACCUCCUAAACACUUGUCUUCUUUCAUCACCAUCUCUUUGGGUAUAUAGCGAAGGUUAGAAGUGGAAAAAUUAGAGUUAGAGAUUUGUCUUCUCAGACACCAAAAUUUGGGGAUUCUACUUUUAGAGGCUUUUAUUUUUGAAUUAUGGCAAAAAGGACAAGACGAUCUAGAAGGCCGAGACGUAAUCCUCCACAAGCAGCUAACGUUCCUCCACCACCCCCACCUCCUGUUACUGAACAAGGAACAUUAGAAGUUAUCCAACAACAAGCGAUGGCUACUACCAACCUGGUUUAGCAUCUGACUCAACUAGGGGGUGUUAGUCAAGCAGCUAAUAGGACUUUCUACAACUUCCUUAUGAUUAAGCCUUCAGUAGUACAAUGCUCGGAGUGCAAGAAAGUGGUAUUUUCUUGAAGGAAGUCAUAACCCAACUAAAUCUCAAGCAUGGAUUGAAGAGAUAAAGAAAGUAUUUGAAAUCGUAUAGUGCUUGGAGGAGUAGAAAGUGGUGUUUUCCACUCAUUUACUGUAGGGUGAAAUAGAGCAUUAGAGGAAAGGGGAAAAGGCUCACAUGUUGACUUUGGAAACACCAUUGGAUUGGGAGCACUUUGAGUUGGUUUUCUUGGAAAAGUAUUACCCAAAGAGUGCGAGGAAGCAGAAAGAGUUAUAGUUCAUUCACCUACAGGAAGGAGACACGACGGUAGCUGAGUAUAUGGCCAAAUUUGAAGAACAAGAAAGAUUCCCGUCCCUCACUAGAUAUGAACCAUACAAAGAGUAGAGUGGAAGAUUGACCAAUUUGAAUGGGGCUUGAAACCAAAAUAAGAAGCAGUGUGGGACAAUUGGGAACUACAAUUUAUGCCACCCAAUGGCAUUAGAGUUACAUUGUUGAGGGAAAUUUGAAGAAGGUGGAAGAGAAUAAGAAGACCAAGUGGAAGCAACUAAAGGAUUCCAACAAGUUCAAUCAACAAGGAAAAGGAAAAGGAAAAGGAAAAGGAAAACAACCAAAAACCUCAUCUUCAGUACGUGGAGGAAAUGUUGUAAGCGUGAAAGAGAGCAUGCAUGAGAAUAUUUGGUUGGGAAGAAUGUUUGCUACUGGUGUAAACAACCAAGACACAUGUUCCUUAACAACCCAUCUUAUAAGAAGAGGGAUGACUCCAUUGUCAAUUAAUUCUCAACUUUUUCAAUGUUUAGUCGAUGGGUAUCAAGGCAUUUUAUUUUUGCUUUCUUCAAAAUCAGAAUUCAGAAAAGGACAUCUCUAACAUACUAGUAGUGAAUGAAUUUAAAGAUGUCUAUCCAUAACAUAUAAUGACUUGACCACCUGAAAGAGAAAUUAAAUUUACCAUAAACCUAAUUCUUGGGUCAGGACCUAUAUCAAUUGCUCUAUAUAUGAUGUCACCAUGUAAAUUGAGUGAACUUAAGAGUGAGUUAGAAGACCACAUUGGGAAGCAGUUUAUUAGGCCUAGUGCCUCACACUGGGGAUUGUUGGCUUUCGUACCCCCAAUUAAACUUGUACCUCCCAAUUAAAUUUUUUUGAUUGAAAUAUCCAAAAUAAUCUUAAGAAAAUUAGUAAAAACAAAAAAAAAAAAA